UCUAGCUCAAUUUUGAAAUUUUCCGGGUUACUGUAGCACCGCAAGUACGCAAACACGACAUUUGACGAGAUUUUGAGCUAGAGCUCUGAAA
Caenorhabditis elegans is the source of this 91-nucleotide non-coding RNA. Lineage: Eukaryota; Metazoa; Nematoda; Chromadorea; Rhabditida; Rhabditidae. The record is from Ensembl.